AACGCACGAGACCUGCGGACCUGCGGAAGGAUCAUUAAUGAGAAACUGCCCCUCGCGGGUAGGUCUCCCACCCUUUGUAAACUUACCUUUGUUGCUUUGGCAGGCCCGUCUCCGGACCGCCGGCUUCGGCUGGCCAGUGCCUGCCAGAGGAUUCUAAAACUCUGUCUGUCAGUGUUGUCUGAGUCUAUAUACAAUCGUUAAAACUUUUAACAAUGGAUCUCUAGAUCGGAAGAGCACACG
This 240-nucleotide unclassified non-coding RNA is filed under the name soil metagenome. RNAcentral describes it as "partial contains 5.8S ribosomal RNA, internal transcribed spacer 2, and large subunit ribosomal RNA". The record is from RNAcentral.